UCUUACGGCCAUACCACCCUGAACGCACCCAAUCUUGUCCGAUCUUGGAAGCUAAGUAGGGUCGGGCUUGGUUAGUACUUGGAUGUGAGACCGCUUGGGAAUACCAGGUGUUGUAAGCU
This is a ribosomal RNA of Chelmon rostratus (copperband butterflyfish), 119 nucleotides long. The record is from RefSeq and is a predicted model, not a curated record. NCBI's taxonomy places the organism in Eukaryota, Metazoa, Chordata, Actinopteri, Chaetodontiformes, Chaetodontidae.